ACUGACCUUGAAGUUUCAGGUUUUCUGAAACCAAGUUAACAUCGCACGCUAAAGCCCUCGAUGUAGACAGUAAGGUUGAAAUCUUAUAAAACCUGUGUGUUUUGACAUUAAUCAGUCCAGUAUUUGCUCUUAUAUCUAUAUGGUGAUCAACUGUAUUUGACUAGGGCAGCCAGAGGUAUAACACCAAGGAAAUAGUCUACUUCUUCCUGUAUCUUAUAACUUAGUUUGACACUAGCACCACUAUCUGGUAUCUCAAGGGACUGUAAAAAUAGUCGUACACCUUUUAGAUUAAAUUUAAACAGUAGCUGUACACAGACUGCAGUAUAUUCAGAUCAAAGCCUCCAUGCAGCGGAGCUCUGUAGUGCAUGGUACCUGGUGGCAGAUUUCAUCCCACUGUCUAUGCAGCAGCUCAACUCGCUCCUGCAGGACAGAGAGGUCUUCAGCGCUGAUGGUACAAGACAGCGACUCUCUCAGCACAGACAGGCAGACGUUGGCACGUUUCCACCGCUCUUGUAUAUCAGUGAGCUCCGCCUGCAGGAGCAUCUCCGCCCGGCAGUCAGCCGACAGGAGCAGUUGUUUCCCGGCCUCCACUGUCAGGAUGUAGCUGCCCUGCUGACGCUGCAGCACUUUUUCCUUCAGCUGUACCCGGAAGCAAAGUCACUCUGAUCAAAUCAUUCUUAAGUGCAUGAGAUGGUUAGUUUCUAAUCAAAACAUGAGGAUUCAUCAGUAUUUUAAAUAAAAUCUGUCAGUUUCA
This is a long non-coding RNA of Pleuronectes platessa (European plaice), 754 nucleotides long. RefSeq lists it as uncharacterized. The record is from RefSeq and is a predicted model, not a curated record. The transcript has 2 exons. NCBI's taxonomy places the organism in Eukaryota, Metazoa, Chordata, Actinopteri, Pleuronectiformes, Pleuronectidae.